Molecule: RNA transcript, 1073 nt
Organism: Zea mays
Lineage: Eukaryota; Viridiplantae; Streptophyta; Magnoliopsida; Poales; Poaceae
Gene name: DUF594 pseudogene
Exons: 1
Source: RefSeq, marked validated
CGAUGUAAUUUCGGAUGGUCUGAGCAAAAAUGCAGAGAGCCGCUAUCUGUUUGGUCUUUUCUGUUUAUAUUGAUUAUUCAGUCUGCCAACCGAUCAACCCGCCUCUAUCACGAACGGCGCCAUGACGAGCACGACGUGCGCACCGUUCGGGAGCGAGAAGACCGGGCACGAUCACACGCGCAAGCGCGCUUUUACGCAGGCGUCUAACCCGGCGAUCAGGACAAGCCCCUGACUCAGCCGCUUAUUACAACUAUACUGAAAUGAAACGUAAGCCAACAGAGAACUGAAACUAUAUAACAGUGCACCCCAGAACAAUCCCGCUCCUUCUUCUCCGACGCCUCCUGGGUCUCCCUGACCUAGACAGGAGCGUGAAGAUACCACCGGCAGUUAAGGCGUGCAUCCUCGACGAUGCUGUGGCACGCGACAUCGGCGUGGGGCAACCGCUCAGUAAUGGCAGAAGUUCUCUGCUCCGAAGCCGAGUCGGCGGCGAGAGGUUCCUGUGGGCUUGUUGCAGUGGUAGUAGCAGCACUACUGCUGGUACCUCUGGCAUCAUACUCACAUGGCACAUUGCCACAUGCAUCCUCGAGGUGAGGCAUCCAUACCAGUGUGGCGGCGGCGGCUGCCAAGAACAGCUGAACCGUCACAAGAUCGCUGCCACUCACCUCUCACGCUACUGCGCGUACCUGAUGGCCUGGUAUCCGGACCUGCUCCCUGACCAUGAGGAGUGGAGCACCGCCCUGUAUGAGACGGUGAAGGACGACGCUAGGCGUGCCCUCGCAGGGUGCAGCGCCGGCUGUGCUGCGGUACUGGGACCAGAGGCCGAGUAUGUGAGCAGGCCAGUGAUCCAGUCGCUGAGCGUCUACUCCAGGCACGAGGGGCUCAGGAAAGGCGUCGUGCUUGGAAAGCAGCUGGUGGAGCUGAUGGAAGGCGAGGAAACUGCGUGGAUGGUGCUGGCGGAAUUCUGGUCGGAGAUGAUCCUGUACGUCGCUGCCUCGGACAUUGCAUUGCACGGGGUGGUGAGCUGAUAACGCUGCUCUGGGCGUUGCUCUCCCAUGUUGGGAUCGGGAGUCGGC